RNAcentral lists this ribosomal RNA (253 nucleotides) under uncultured bacterium. Its description in RNAcentral is "partial 16S ribosomal RNA". It matches the Rfam family "Bacterial small subunit ribosomal RNA", at positions 524 to 776 of the family's 1533-position model. The record is from RNAcentral.
UACGUAGGGCGCGAGCGUUGUCCGGAAUUACUGGGCGUAAAGCGUGCGUAGGCGGUUUUGUAAGUCGGAUGUGAAAGCCCCGGGCUUAACCUGGGAAUGGCAUUUGGGACUGCAAGGCUUGAGUGUGGCAGAGGAGACUGGAAUUCCUGGUGUAGCAGUGAAAUGCGUAGAUAUCAGGAGGAAUACCGAUGGCGAAGGCAGGUCUCUGGGCUGACACUGACGCUGAGGCGCGAAAGCGUGGGGAGCAAACAGG